RNAcentral lists this ribozyme (116 nucleotides) under Aedes aegypti (yellow fever mosquito). RNAcentral's name for it is "drz-agam-1 ribozyme". It matches the Rfam family "drz-agam-1 ribozyme". The record is from Rfam by way of RNAcentral. Lineage: Eukaryota; Metazoa; Arthropoda; Insecta; Diptera; Culicidae.
UGCCCAGAAACUCCUAUCCCUACCUCCUCGUGGUACUGGCCGGGGUACGAGUAACCUUAGGGAAGACCGGGUAACCAAUUCCGGCGGGAGCUUUGGUCGUAUGCUGACAGGGAAGG